This 73-nucleotide transfer RNA is filed under the name Ixodes scapularis (black-legged tick). RNAcentral describes it as "tRNA-Ser for anticodon UGA". It matches the Rfam family "tRNA". From Rfam's summary of the family: Transfer RNA (tRNA) molecules are approximately 80 nucleotides in length. Their secondary structure includes four short double-helical elements and three loops (D, anti-codon, and T loops). Further hydrogen bonds mediate the characteristic L-shaped molecular structure. tRNAs have two regions of fundamental functional importance: the anti-codon, which is responsible for specific mRNA codon recognition, and the 3' end, to which the tRNAs corresponding amino acid is attached (by aminoacyl-tRNA synthetases). tRNAs cope with the degeneracy of the genetic code in two manners: having more than one tRNA (with a specific anti-codon) for a particular amino acid; and 'wobble' base-pairing, i.e. permitting non-standard base-pairing at the 3rd anti-codon position. Lineage: Eukaryota; Metazoa; Arthropoda; Arachnida; Ixodida; Ixodidae. The record is from RNAcentral.
UCUUGGUUAGCUCAGUUGAUAGAGCGCUUCAUUUGAAACGGAGGGGUCCCUGGUUCGAUACCAGGACCAGGCG